Molecule: long non-coding RNA, 712 nt
Organism: Perca flavescens (yellow perch)
Lineage: Eukaryota; Metazoa; Chordata; Actinopteri; Perciformes; Percidae
Exons: 5
Source: RefSeq, a predicted model, not a curated record
GCUGCAAGCCAGGGGGGUAAAUAUGCUUUUCACAUAGUUCCAAUUCAAGACAAACUCAAAACUACUCCUUUGCAACAAAGUAAUGAAGUAUUCAGUGGCAUGCCUAAGGCAAUGUGCCAAAAGUGUGGAGCAGCCAUUCCACUGCAACUCCCGAUGGAACACUUGAAGUCUUGCAACAUCGUUGAUGUUGACAAUGAUGAAGACAACCUGGCUAAUGUGGAGGAUAACAGUGAGCAGGCACCAGUUCAGGAGCAUUCUCCUAUCUGCAUGGAAAUGUUUACCGCUGAAUUCAUUGAAGUACAUGCUGCUUUGUGUGGAGAAAGGAAAUGAGGUGUUGGAUAGGAGUACUGUUGAAGAGCAAGCAGCAAUGCCUGGAUCGUCCAGUAAUGAAACCGUUACAGAUGGUGGCUCAUGGUACAAGACCCUACCAAGGCCAUGUCACCGUUUCGGGAUUCUGUUUUCUUAGCAAUCAUGAAAGUGAUGCAGCCAUUGGAGAGGGUGUGAGUCGCUUUUUCCUCUCAACUUGCAUGGACAAGCUAAAGUCUGGGUUUUGCAUCAACUUUGGUAUAUUGACUGUAGCUAUGUGUAAGCUGACUUGUCAAUAGCAAAUAUUAAGUUAUUAAAGUCUUGUGUUUAAAAGUUUUUUCUUUUACACAUACUGUAAUUCUGUUAUCUUUUUAUAUUUGUUUGUUUGCUGGACCCUGGUACUUUU